CCCCAUCGGUCAUCACAGAGAUGGGGAAGAACUUAUUUUAUAAAAUCUGCAGGUUUAAUGUGGUUAGAUUUCAAGUAAGCACUUCUGAUAUAUAGACUGGAAGCUGCAAUUUCAGUCGCUCUCACCUGCAGCUGGAGUAUUCCAUUAUAUACCCUUGUAUUUCUGUCUAAACUUGGAGGAGGCAUUUUACAUUCAACUGAUUCAAAUCCCUGAUGGAUCGGAGGUGGUCAGGGUUCUUCAUCUUCAGGUAUCAGUAAAAGAGAAAUCUAUAGGCUUUCAAUUGUUCAGCAGCAUGGAUAUAGAUCUUCGUCUGCCUUCUCAAGACCAUGACAAGGAAGAAGAAGAAGAGGAACAAAAUGGAAUUAUAAAUAUGCUUGACAAUGAAGAAAAAAUACAUGGUGAUGACGGAAUGCAUGGGAUGUUGGUUAUUGAAGAGAAGAUGCAUGCAGAAGAUAGAGGGGAUAUGAACACUCCCGUAGGAACUAUGAUAGACUUUAAGGAGGAUGUGAACCUUGAACCGCUGGCUGGCAUGGAAUUUGAGUCACAUGGUGAGGCUUAUGCCUUUUAUCAAGAGUAUGCUCGGUCGAUGGGAUUCAAUACAGCCAUACAAAACAGCCGUCGCUCAAAGACGUCAAGGGAAUUCAUUGAUGCAAAAUUCGCAUGUUCUAGAUAUGGAACUAAACGGGAAUAUGAGAAGUCUGCAAAUCGGCCACGUAGUAGGCAAGGAAACAAACAGGAUCCAGAAAAUGCUACUGGUCGGCGAGCAUGUGCAAAGACAGAUUGCAAAGCAAGUAU
Molecule: unclassified non-coding RNA, 795 nt
Filed under: Hevea brasiliensis (rubber tree)
Lineage: Eukaryota; Viridiplantae; Streptophyta; Magnoliopsida; Malpighiales; Euphorbiaceae
Source: RNAcentral